This 1133-nucleotide ribosomal RNA is filed under the name Staphylococcus sp. SCAU5. RNAcentral describes it as "bacterial SSU rRNA". It matches the Rfam family "Bacterial small subunit ribosomal RNA", at positions 33 to 1149 of the family's 1533-position model. Lineage: Bacteria; Bacillati; Bacillota; Bacilli; Caryophanales; Staphylococcaceae. The record is from RNAcentral.
ACGCUGGCGGCGUGCCUAAUACAUGCAAGUCGAGCGAACAGAUGAGAAGCUUGCUUCUCUGAUGUUAGCGGCGGACGGGUGAGUAACACGUGGGUAACCUACCUAUAAGACUGGGAUAACUCCGGGAAACCGGGGCUAAUACCGGAUAAUAUUUUGAACCGCAUGGUUCAAUAGUGAAAGACGGUUUCGGCUGUCACUUAUAGAUGGACCCGCGCCGUAUUAGCUAGUUGGUAAGGUAAUGGCUUACCAAGGCGACGAUACGUAGCCGACCUGAGAGGGUGAUCGGCCACACUGGAACUGAGACACGGUCCAGACUCCUACGGGAGGCAGCAGUAGGGAAUCUUCCGCAAUGGGCGAAAGCCUGACGGAGCAACGCCGCGUGAGUGAUGAAGGUCUUCGGAUCGUAAAACUCUGUUGUUAGGGAAGAACAAAUUUGUUAGUAACUGAACAAGUCUUGACGGUACCUAACCAGAAAGCCACGGCUAACUACGUGCCAGCAGCCGCGGUAAUACGUAGGUGGCAAGCGUUAUCCGGAAUUAUUGGGCGUAAAGCGCGCGUAGGCGGUUUCUUAAGUCUGAUGUGAAAGCCCACGGCUCAACCGUGGAGGGUCAUUGGAAACUGGGAAACUUGAGUGCAGAAGAGGAGAGUGGAAUUCCAUGUGUAGCGGUGAAAUGCGCAGAGAUAUGGAGGAACACCAGUGGCGAAGGCGGCUCUCUGGUCUGUAACUGACGCUGAUGUGCGAAAGCGUGGGGAUCAAACAGGAUUAGAUACCCUGGUAGUCCACGCCGUAAACGAUGAGUGCUAAGUGUUAGGGGGUUUCCGCCCCUUAGUGCUGCAGCUAACGCAUUAAGCACUCCGCCUGGGGAGUACGACCGCAAGGUUGAAACUCAAAGGAAUUGACGGGGACCCGCACAAGCGGUGGAGCAUGUGGGUUUAAUUCGAAGCAACGCGAGAACCUUACCAAAUCUUGACAUCCUUUGACCGCUCUAGAGAUAGAGUCUUCCCCUUCGGGGACAAAGUGACAGUGUGCAUGGGUGUCGUCAGCUCGUGUCGUGAGAUGUUGGGUUAAGUCCCGCACGAGCGCACCCUUCAAGCUAGUGCCAUCAUUAAGUUGGGGCACCUCCUACGUUGAC